AGCAGCCGCGGUAAUUCCAGCUCCAAUAGCGUAUAUUAAAGUUGUUGCAGUUAAAAAGCUCGUAGUUGAAUUUCGAGAUCGGCUUACUGGUCGUGCUUUUGUACGUACUGGUAAAUCGGUUUCUCCUUUCUGACGAACUUUUAAUGCCAUUAAUUUGGUGUUUUAGAGAAUCAGGACUGUUACUUUGAAAAAAUUGAGUGUUUAAAGCAGGCUCACGCUUGAAUACAUUAGCAUGGAAUAAUGAAAUAGGACGUUUGAUUCUAUUUUGUUGGUUUCUAGGUAUCGACGUAAUGAUUAAUAGGGAUAGUUGGGGGCAUUAGUAUUCAAUUGUCAGAGGUGAAAUUCUUGGAUUUAUUGAAGACUAACUACUGCGAAAGCAUUUGCCAAGGAUGUUUUCAUUAAUCAAGUAACGAAAGUUAGGGGAUCGAAGACGAUCAGAUA
This 441-nucleotide ribosomal RNA is filed under the name uncultured Glomus. Its description in RNAcentral is "SSU rRNA". It matches the Rfam family "Eukaryotic small subunit ribosomal RNA", at positions 569 to 1014 of the family's 1831-position model. The record is from RNAcentral. Lineage: Eukaryota; Fungi; Glomeromycota; Glomeromycetes; Glomerales; Glomeraceae.